AAAUCCGUUGAUUUUCAAAAUCAUGAGGGUUCAAGUCCCUCUAUCCCCAA
This 50-nucleotide transfer RNA is filed under the name Mapania bancana. RNAcentral's name for it is "partial tRNA-Leu". Lineage: Eukaryota; Viridiplantae; Streptophyta; Magnoliopsida; Poales; Cyperaceae. The record is from RNAcentral.